RNAcentral lists this transfer RNA (69 nucleotides) under Pseudopaludicola mystacalis (Cope's swamp frog). RNAcentral's name for it is "tRNA-Val". It matches the Rfam family "tRNA". Rfam says of the family: Transfer RNA (tRNA) molecules are approximately 80 nucleotides in length. Their secondary structure includes four short double-helical elements and three loops (D, anti-codon, and T loops). The record is from RNAcentral. Lineage: Eukaryota; Metazoa; Chordata; Amphibia; Anura; Leptodactylidae.
CAAAAUGAGCUUAAUUUAAAGCAUCUUGCUUACACCAAGAAGAUACCCGUGAAAUUCGAGUCAUUUUGA